CGCAUCUGUGCAUGCAGCAUAUCAAUAAGCGGAGGAAAAGAAACUAACAAGGAUUCCCCUAGUAACGGCGAGUGAAGCGGGAAGAGCUCAAAUUUGAAAUCUAAAGGGUUUCCCUUUACGAAUUGUAGUUUAAAGAAGUGUUUUCUGUUGAGGUUUUGGUAAAAGUUCUUUGGAAUAGGACAUCAUAGAGGGUGAGAAUCCCGUAUUUGACCUUUACUUUCAACUUUGUGAUACACUUUCAAAGAGUCGGAUUGUUUGGGAAUGCAGUCCAAAAUGGGUGGUAAAUUUCAUCUAAAGCUAAAUAUUGGCGAGAGACCGAUAGCGAACAAGUACCGUGAGGGAAAGAUGAAAAGAACUUUGAAAAGAGAGUUAAACAGUACGUGAAAUUGUCAAAAGGGAAGCGUUUGACACCAGUGUUGUUUUUCUGAAAAUCAAUUAAAGAACUGUUUAUGCUAAGUUGUUUAGACUUUAUCAGCUAACUGUUUAGUUUUGAGCUUUUCUUUAAUGCACUUUUCAGUUAACAAGUCAACAUCAAUUUCUUUUGCUGUAAAAAAGCUUGAGGAAGGUGGCUUGAGAUUCGUCUUAAGUGUUUAUAGCCUCUUGCCUAUGCAGUCGGAGAGAUUGAGGUCUGCAGCGUAGAUCCUUCGGGGCUAAAUGCAUUUGUGCUAAGUUAUAACAUUUUAUAGACAACUUGUUGACUAUGAUUUGUCUUGUAGCUUACUCGCUUAUGUUAUUUCACCUACGCUUAGGAUGUUGACAGCAGUAUAGACUGU
This 773-nucleotide ribosomal RNA is filed under the name uncultured Neocallimastigales. Its description in RNAcentral is "partial large subunit ribosomal RNA". It matches the Rfam family "Eukaryotic large subunit ribosomal RNA", at positions 26 to 637 of the family's 3401-position model. Lineage: Eukaryota; Fungi; Neocallimastigomycota; Neocallimastigomycetes; Neocallimastigales. The record is from RNAcentral.